RNAcentral lists this ribosomal RNA (371 nucleotides) under uncultured bacterium. Its description in RNAcentral is "bacterial SSU rRNA". It matches the Rfam family "Bacterial small subunit ribosomal RNA", at positions 527 to 896 of the family's 1533-position model. The record is from RNAcentral.
GGAGGUUGCGAGCGUUGUUCGGAAUAACUGGGCGUAAAGGGAGCGCAGGCGGUUGGGCAAGUCCAAAGUGAAAGCCCGGGGCUCAACUCCGGAAGUGCUUUGGAUACUGCCUUACUCGAGUUCGUGAGAGGAAAGCGGAAUUCCAGGUGUAGCGGUGAAAUGCGUAGAUAUCUGGAGGAACACCGGUGGCGAAAGCGGCUUUCUGGCACGAUACUGACGCUGAGGCUCGAAAGCGUGGGGAGCAAACAGGAUUAGAUACCCUGGUAGUCCACGCUGUAAACGUUGUGCACUAGGUGUGGGAGGUAUCGACCCCUUCCGUGCCGCAGCUAACGCACUAAGUGCACCGCCUGGGGAGUACGGUCGCAAGACUG